UGGUGGAGGUGAAGUGCAAAGCCACUUGCAAAAAUUCUGUGGAUAUUUUGAUGGUCUUCAUGUCAUAGAGUGGAGGUCACCCAACCUAAGAUCUCUUCUGGUGGUGAACAAAGUGAAUUCAGARCUGGAAAUCCCGGAGAAACUCCUGUCUUACAUCUAGGGAAGCAAGGAUCUGUGGAGUCGCCGGUGUUUGGAUUUCAUUACCUUAGACCUGGAGUGUCACGGAGUUGCGAGCUGAUCUCCUGUCCCCUUGAAACUGAUAAUGGUUUGCUCUUGACUUCAGUUKAGUCAGGGGUUUGCCCCAGCACUUAAGAUAACUAUGACAGAAAUAUGUGGAGCUCAAUCCUUCUCUCAUUGCCAGUGACAUGAAUUUAGCAUUUCCUUCCUCACAGCGAAGAGAGGUUACAGCUCUACUGCCUCUCCACAGCACAUCCACAACUCCUGCUAGAAGAGAUGUCAGAAGAGCCAAGGAUGGAGAUCUACAAAAAUGAAGCAGAAGACUUGUGGAGUUUCUUCAUGUAGUGGUGUGGAUGUCUCUGCUUCUUUUAUUUAAAAUGAAAUUCAGACUUCAGAAGCACACUUGAUUUCCUUUUCUCUCGGUGCUGACAAGCUCUAGUUUAGCUUUGUUGUCUAAAGAGGUAACAGCAAUUAAAAUGUGAUGUGACAGCAACUUCUAUAAACUGUUUGGUGAUGUCAGAAUCCUAACAUAAGGAAAUCCUUCAACAUUAUCCAGGGCUUUUCAAAAAUUCAGCCAGAGCUUCCCCCUGAUCACUAACCCCUCUGACACUGGCCUAUGAGAGCAGGCYUGGCUGCAUGAUGAAACCCCGCUAGAGUCAAGUUAUGGUUAAGCUUSUUUAAAUAAAAGCCUGAUGAAAGUCUUGCCUUUGGGCCUUGGUGGUGAAGAGAGGAGCUGCUGGUUUAGAGCCCAGAUUUGCUCGUCAUACUUGCAGGUGAAUGUGUCCAUUGGAAGCAAUGAGCCCGUGCUGAACUGUCCCCGUUGGUUGUGCAGAGAAGUGGAGCUGUUUUUGCAGCACGUCCUUGCCAGCCAGGAGAGCUGCUUCC
Molecule: long non-coding RNA, 1062 nt
Organism: Nothoprocta perdicaria
Lineage: Eukaryota; Metazoa; Chordata; Aves; Tinamiformes; Tinamidae
Exons: 2
Source: RefSeq, a predicted model, not a curated record